GACGAACGCUGGCGGCGUGCUUAACACAUGCAAGUCGAACGGUGAAGCGCCUUCCUUUUUGGUGGGUGUGGAUGAGUGGCGAACUGGUUAGUAACACGUGAGUAACCUUCCCCCUUCUUCUGGAUAACCGCAUGAAAGUGUUGCUAAUACGGGAUAUUCUGGGUCUGUUGCUUGAUGGGUCUGGGAAAGUUUUUGUUUCGGUGGGGGAUGGGUUCGCGGCCUAUCAGCUUGUUGGUGGGGUGAUGGCCUACCAAGGCGGUGACGGGUAGCCGGCCUGAGGGGGUGGACGGACACACAGGGAAUGAAGAGCGGCGAAGACUACGAGGGGAGGCAGCAGGGGGGAAUAUGGCACAAGGGGAGGAAGGAUGAUGCAGCGACGCCGCGGGAGGGAAGGAGGCCGGAGGGUUGUGAACCUCUUUCGCCAGUGAAGAAGGGCUGAAUCGAUUGUGGGUGGGUUGACAGUAGCUGGAUAAGAAGCGCCGGCUAACUACGUG
RNAcentral lists this ribosomal RNA (494 nucleotides) under uncultured bacterium. Its description in RNAcentral is "partial 16S ribosomal RNA". It matches the Rfam family "Bacterial small subunit ribosomal RNA", at positions 28 to 507 of the family's 1533-position model. The record is from RNAcentral.